CAGCAAACUAAGAAUAAAAAUCCCAAAUGAACUUUUUAAAACCAGUCACCCCCACUACUCAAAUUCAUCCAUCAAGCCUCUGAGAAUCUUCUCUGCGAGAGCCCCACACGACAUGCGGUACAAAAGCAGGAAGUGCCUAAGGUUAAAGGACCACACUAUAAAUAACGUCCACUGGCCUCACACAUUCAUACUAGCCUAUCUCUUGUUCCCAAACAUUCUCUCAAGUAAAGGACUGUGAAAUAAGAGCUGGUUCAACAUUUUCUCCUCUGGGCUCAUGUGACUGUCAGUGUAUUAACAAUGAAAAUCCACAGAGCUGAGUUUCAUCUAAUGGAUACUUUUUUCAUCGUGAAGAAGGGGUUAUCCUGUGUUAUCACAGGACUAGAGAUAGAAGUUUGGCUGUAUUGCCUCUGUUGGUUUGUAAGGUUUUGUUGUUUGGGGAGAAGCAGGACGAAGGAAACAAAGGAAGGACAAAUGCCGCUUGGAGAAGGGACGCUUAUGAAAGGGGAAAGAGCUCCAAGCAGAAAGCCGUUAGAGACGCUGUUCAUUUCUCCUUAAAGCCUUGAGUGAGUGGUCACCUCUCCAGCUCCGGGACCUUAGCAGCUGCAGGACUGGAACCCAGGCAGCCUGACUGCAGAGACCUUGUUCUUCCUGUAACCUCUAUACCCUCCUGGGCUCUGAUGAGUCACUUUGGAAUCUACAGGAGCAGCCCACUGAGCCACACUACUCCAAAGCGACUUAGUGUAUCCAAGCUGCCGCUGAGACGGGAGAGGCAGGGAGUGCACGUUCCCAGGCUCAGGAGUGAGAUGACACCAGAUCUACAGCUCUAGCCCUGACCUUGCUGAUGGGCCCCUACCGGUCCACGGAUGUCCACCUGGCACUGGCUUAUCAACAAGACAGACAAGCAUGGAUGCAAAGCCGACUAGCAAGCACUUCCUAACUAAGCGACCUUGAGCGUAUGAAUCAGGGGAGUCCAGAUGAGGUAUGUAAACAAUUCCCAAAUCUCAGGAGCUUAGACCAAUAAAGGUCUGUUUCACGUUCCUAUUAACAUGUGCAUUCUAUGCUGGUUGGGCUCUGUUCUGGAUCCUCUUUUCCUCUCAAUCCAGGACUCAAGCCAAUGGAGCAGUCAGACUGAAUAUGGUCAGUCUGUAGCAGAGGAAAAUAAAGGACUCCAGAAGGUCCCUCACCAGCAAUUGUAUUAUAUGCUUGGCCUCAAACUGGCAAUAUCCCUUCCAACAACCCCACCCAACUUCAGCGAGUUAGAAAAUACAAUCUGACUCUAGCUCUCCAACUUCAGGACACAGAUAUACUUGGUGAAUAGCCUGGUGCCUUCUACAGUGAGUUAAUCCACUGCACUUAGCCUCAGUGACCCAUAUGGAAAAUGGAGAUAAUUACACACACCUCCACAGAUUGUCAUAAAGGUUAAUCAGAGUUGACUCAUGUAGAGCACUUAGAAUAGUCCCUGGCCCAUAGGAGGUUCUCCAGAAAUACCAGCUCCUUUCCUUGCAUUCGAAACAGAAUUCUCAGUCUCCCACACCUGCUUCUGGCUGCCCACACCCCAUGUCUGAAAAAGAUUCCACCGUUUUUCUAGUCACUUUCAAUAAAAACCUGCCCGUUAUCUAGGAUCUCUCUUCAUCCUUCAUCAUGUCCCCCCAGUACAAUGACCUCCAAGUUUGGCCAAUAUGCCCCAUGUGAGGUCAUCACUUUCCAUCACUACUGAGACCCAUCCUACUAUAGGAUUUUAUUAUCUUAUUGUAUCAGUUAGGAUUUUAAAAAAUUGCUAACAACAUAAACAAGCUCUGGUCAUCCUAGUUCCCCUCUCCACAAAAGGCAAAGCAGUAAAGGAGCAUGGGAUUAUCCGAAGGCCACCAGACCGUCACACAGAAUAAAGGAAGGGCUGAACAUGAGGUCUCAGGAUAGACGAGGAACAGGGCAGUGCCACGGUCUCAAUCUGGACUGAGCCCCAUGGUAUAGACAGGGUCAGUGAGGCUCACACCAGUGCACGCUGUUCUCAGAGGCCACUGUCGUGGACCAGAUAGACCCCACUCCCAGCAAUAGCUUCCAUACUUGGUGUCAGAAACUCUGCAAUCAGCUCCCCCUGCCCCAAUGUGGCCCCAGUCCAAUCUUUUCUCAAUAUUCCAACCAGAUCAACUAGUCCUAAAGUUUGGGUUAAGUCACUCAAACUACUGUGAUGAACAAUCAGGUGUCUACCAUGCACUAAACACUGUAUAAAACCUGGACCUUUGUGCCAAGCUAGCGAUAAAGCCUUCAGAAAUUUGUUCUCCGUUGGCAUUUAGUUCAGCCGUGUCCUUCAGCUGGCAUUAGAACGUUAGGGAUUUUAGCCCCACUCCACCUCUCCAGAUGGUAUCCUGACCACCCUCUCUAUUCCCUACAUGGGCUCCAUGUCCUUCCCACUCUGAGACCAACUGCUGUUCUCUGAUGUGUCUUCUGAGUGUUCCUGCUGCUUGGGCUUCUGUUGAUGCCACUUUCUAGAGCUAGGUGGUCUCUCUCAUGCCAGCUCUCCCACAGAGCUUCCCCUGAGAGCCCACCUAGAAGUCACUGUUCCAUCCUCUGACCUCUUAAAGGUGACACUGUCUGUAUUACUGAGUCCCACUCUCUAAUUGCCAAAAGACUGUAAAACCCCGAGGGCAGGGAUCCCACAGGGUCUAACACAGAGUGGAAUGCAAAUAAGGAAUAUUCACCUUACUCACUGGAGGACGAGGUAAAAGUGAAAAAUAGAUCAGAAUGAGAGCCAGAGAGCCCCGGUCACCUCCUGGCAUGACCUAGGCUGAAGUGCUUCCAUUCUCGCUUCCAAUACUCAGCAUUUCCUGGCUUGCUUUACUCCAUGGAACUUUCUGUCUCACUAUCAGAGGCGUCACCUCCCUUGUGGACUUGAAUUUUGGUCUUACCCCAUAAAUUGUGUCUGCCACCUUGGCUGGGCUCCACCCGGGUCCUGAUUUGCACCUCAGGGGCACCAUUUGACUCCUCUGUCCAUUCCCUGCCGAAUCCUGGGUAUAUGUCCAGGGCUCUGCUCCAUUCCAGCAGCGGGCAAUGAGCCACAGUUAGUACUGAGAGAAGCAGUCUCACACCCUCUACAGCCCUGGGAGAGUCCCUGUUUGGCAGGAAAUGCAGAGCUGUCCAUAAUGAUGGCAGAAGAUGGCACCACGGUCCUUCUCGUGCUCAAAGCACAAAAUUGGCAGCCAUCUGGCUCUUCUCUCUCCCUUGCUUUGACAGCCUGUCAGUUCCACCUUUGCAAUAUCUUUAUUAUCCAUCAGUCUCUCAAACUCCACAGUUUUUCCUUCGAUUGGGGCUCAUUAUUUCUCACUUGAACCUGAGUGAACUCUUAACCUGUCCCAGUGUCCCCUCCUCUGCCCAUCUCUGCUCAACUGCCCAAGGGAUCUUUUAGAAUGCUUCCCCCGCCACCCAAUCGCAUCGUAGAUAAUGAAACUCCUUAGCAGCCACCCAUGGCCCUUUACAAUCUGGUCAUGACCUAUUUCGUCAGCCUCAUCACUUACCUUCCAACACCCUCCCCAUGUCUGCUCCAUCUAACUGCUUUCCAUUCCAUCCUAAGUCCCCUUGGAUGGAAUUUUCGGACCAGCCCUAAAAUCAAACCCAAAAAUUCCAAAAAUGAAGGCAACUCCAUUUAGCUUGCUUGUUCGUUCACUAAAAAUGAAAACAAGCUGCCACUGCCAUCAAGUUCCUCAGGGCAACAGGAGGUGACAGGAAGAUCCCAAAAUGCCUGGAAAGGUGGAGAGCUGGCCAGCCUCUCCAUGAGGGCAGAACAGACCAGCUGAGGCCUAGUGAGCCACAGCAGGGGAGAUAAUAGGCAAGAAUCCUGCUGCUCAGGGACAGGCGUUCAUUUGGGAAUGUCACGGGGCACAACACAACCUAGUCCACAGCAAUCCUUUCCCGUUUCAUGUAAUAGAAUUUCCUCCAAAAAUUAUAAGCCAAGAAGCUCAUCUUUCCUUCUUUAUUGAGCUAUAAGCAGACUGCCAUAGUCGUGAGCAGAUAACUGCAAAUCUGGGCAGUGAUCUAUGAAAUCAGAACAGACCUGAGUUUGGAGAUGUGAUUAAUUAAAAUUUUUAACCAAGUUCAUCCCACAUAUAUUUAAUGUUAUGCAUAAGUGCUUUUGUGCUGGCUGGAAAUUAGGCCCAAAGAGUGGGCAGUUCACAGAAAUGCUGCAGACCCUGUGAUUCUUAAACAGACAAACCUGAUUGUGUUUCUUCCCUCAGUUACUGCUUCAGAAUCCACUAGGAUGACUGGCAGAUCGUUCCCUGCCCAUGUCUGCACCAAAGCCCGUGCAUUUCUUGUGCACACAGGAUAUGUGCACUCUAACAGUGAAGGGCAUCAGGUGCUUCUUCUGGCCUUGAACUGAGGUUGCCUGUGCUUGUACCUGGGGGACCUCUGGAAUGGAAAAGGCUUGGUCGGCAUUUACAAGCACUGCAACCUUGAACAAGCCCUUCAGUCUUCUAAAAAAUGAGGAUAGCCCAAGCUCACCCAUGGAGGCUGUGAAGAUGAACUAAAGAGACACAUUAGGACUAUACCGCCUACACUGCUUUCAGAGGAGGAGGAAACUUUUCCAUCACAGAGUUAGGGAACAGGAUUCAUAUGUGCCAACCUUGUGUAAAGACACCACUGUCCCUGACAGAUUCUACCUGUUCCUGCAAGAACAGUCCAAAUGAAGCCACUAUUGGUCUGUGUUCAUCCACCCCGGUGUAGUACGGAACCAGGGAUUUCUGGCCAACUCAGCCAGGGCUGGGGCAGUGGAAGAAGCCCACCAGGUCAUCUACAACACUCCAGCUGAUCUGCACCAGGCUCCUUCCCACAGAGUCAGGACUUGUUGAUUUACUUUACUAAGUAUGAAUUAAAACACCAACAAAGAGGUUAAUUUGCUUUUAUGACUUCUGAAAAAGUAAUGUAUUUAUCUGGUACACGCUUUGGCUCAGAUCGCUUUCUAUAGGCCCUUGUAAUACAUGGUGAUCCUUGAGUGUGCAUGCCACAAGCAUGGGGCUGGAGCACAGAGGCUGCCCAGAGGCUCAAACAAGGAGGGUCCUGGCCCCAGGGGCACAGGCAGAUUCCUAGGGUCUCAAGGCCAGUGGGCAGAGCUAGAAUCCAGUCAGGGCAGAAGA
Long non-coding RNA from Leopardus geoffroyi (Geoffroy's cat), 5126 nucleotides. RefSeq lists it as uncharacterized. NCBI's taxonomy places the organism in Eukaryota, Metazoa, Chordata, Mammalia, Carnivora, Felidae. The record is from RefSeq and is a predicted model, not a curated record. The transcript has 4 exons.